AUAUUGGUGGUUCAAUGGUAGAAUUCUUGCCUUCCAUGCAGGAGACCCGGGUUCAAUUCCCAACAAAUGCA
RNAcentral lists this transfer RNA (71 nucleotides) under Loxodonta africana (African savanna elephant). It matches the Rfam family "tRNA". Rfam says of the family: Transfer RNA (tRNA) molecules are approximately 80 nucleotides in length. Their secondary structure includes four short double-helical elements and three loops (D, anti-codon, and T loops). Lineage: Eukaryota; Metazoa; Chordata; Mammalia; Proboscidea; Elephantidae. The record is from Rfam by way of RNAcentral.